This 596-nucleotide ribosomal RNA is filed under the name uncultured bacterium. Its description in RNAcentral is "bacterial SSU rRNA". The stretch from base 1 to 527 matches the Rfam family "Bacterial small subunit ribosomal RNA", at positions 338 to 873 of the family's 1533-position model. The record is from RNAcentral.
CCUACGGGAGGCAGCAGUGGGGAAUUUUGGACAAUGGGCGCAAGCCUGAUCCAGCCAUGCCGCGUGAGUGAAGAAGGCCUUCGGGUUGUAAAGCUCUUUCGGCGGGGAAGAAAAGGUACGUGCUAAUACCACGGACUAAUGACGGUACCCGAAGAAGAAGCACCGGCUAACUACGUGCCAGCAGCCGCGGUAAUACGUAGGGUGCAGGCGUUAAUCGGAAUUACUGGGCGUAAAGCGUGCGCAGGCGGUUUGUUAAGACAGAUGUGAAAUCCCCGGGCUUAACCUGGGAACUGCGUUUGUUACUGGCAAGCUAGAGUGUGGCAGAGGGGGGUAGAAUUCCAGGUGUAGCAGUGAAAUGCGUAGAUAUCUGGAGGAAUACCGAUGGCGAAGGCAGCCCCCUGGGCUAACACUGACGCUCAUGCACGAAAGCGUGGGGAGCAAACAGGAUUAGAUACCCUGGUAGUCCACGCCCUAAACUAUNUCACUGUGUCGGGAGCAUCUUGUACGAGACUACGCGUGAGUGCGCCGNGGNGACGCGCGAGUAAACGUACGAAGUAAGUAGAGNGUGAGAGNGCGAGGCGACGACGAGGAGGAGG